This 146-nucleotide unclassified non-coding RNA is filed under the name uncultured Venturiaceae. RNAcentral describes it as "sequence contains ITS2". Lineage: Eukaryota; Fungi; Ascomycota; Dothideomycetes; Venturiales; Venturiaceae. The record is from RNAcentral.
CAAACCUCAAGCCUUGCUUGGUGAUGGGCCCCGCCCGCGCGGCGGGCCCGAAACUCGUGGGCGCCCCCAGCCGGACUCCAAGCGUAGCAAAACCCUCGCUUGCGGACGACCGGUCGGAGGCCGCCCCGGACCCCAAAUUUUUCAAU